Molecule: ribosomal RNA, 804 nt
Filed under: Nannizzia incurvata
Lineage: Eukaryota; Fungi; Ascomycota; Eurotiomycetes; Onygenales; Arthrodermataceae
Description: LSU rRNA
Rfam family: Eukaryotic large subunit ribosomal RNA
Source: RNAcentral
AUCUGGCCUCCUUCGGGGGUCCGAGUUGUAAUUUGUAGAGGAUGCUUCGGGUGUGGCCGCCGUCUAAGUUCCUUGGAACAGGACGUCAGAGAGGGUGAGAAUCCCGUCUUGGGCGGCUGGUCCGCGCCCGUGUGAAGCUCCUUCGACGAGUCGAGUUGUUUGGGAAUGCAGCUCUAAGCGGGUGGUAAAUUUCAUCUAAAGCUAAAUACUGGUCGGAGACCGAUAGCGCACAAGUAGAGUGAUCGAAAGGUUAAAAGCACCUUGAAAAGGGAGUUAAACAGCACGUGAAAUUGUUGAAAGGGAAGCGCUUGCGGCCAGACUCGGGGGCGGGGUUCAGCGGGUGCUCGUCGCCCGUGCACUCCCCGUCUCCCGGGCCAGCAUCAGUUUCGACGGCCGGUCAAAGGCCCCCGGAAUGUGUCGUCUCUCGGGACGUCUUAUAGCCGGGGGUGCAAUGCGGCCCGUUGGGACUGAGGAACGCGCUCCGGCUCGGAUGCUGGCGUAAUGGCCGUAAGCGGCCCGUCUUGAAACACGGACCAAGGAGUCUAACAUCCACGCGAGUGUUCGGGUGUCAAACCCGUGCGCGCAGUGAAAGCGAACGGAGGUGGGAGCCUUAGGGCGCACCAUCGACCGAUCCUGAAGUCUUCGGAUGGAUUUGAGUAGGAGCGUGGCCGUUGGGACCCGAAAGAUGGUGAACUAUGCCUGAAUAGGGUGAAGCCAGAGGAAACUCUGGUGGAGGCUCGCAGCGGUUCUGACGUGCAAAUCGAUCGUCAAAUUUGGGCAUAGGGGCGAAAGACUAAUCGAACC